Non-coding RNA from Hordeum vulgare subsp. vulgare (domesticated barley), 136 nucleotides. NCBI's taxonomy places the organism in Eukaryota, Viridiplantae, Streptophyta, Magnoliopsida, Poales, Poaceae. The record is from Rfam.
CUCUUACUCCCUCCGUCCCAAAAUUGUUGUCUCAAAUUUAUCUAGAAAUGGAUGUAUCUAAAUACUAAGACAUGACUAGAUACAUUCAUAUCUAAAAAAAGUUAAUACAAUAAUUUUCGGAUGGAGGGAGUAUUUU